GACGAACCGUGCGAACGUUGUUCGGAAUCACUGGGCUUAAAGGGCGCGUAGGCGGCGGGCCAAGUCCGGGGUGAAAGCCCCCAGCUUAACUGGGGAAGGGCCUCGGAGACUGGUCCGCUCGAGGGAGGUAGGGGUCGCGGGAACUUCCGGUGGAGCGGUGAAAUGCGUUGAUAUCGGAAGGAACGCCGGUGGCGAAAGCGCGCGACUGGACCUCUUCUGACGCUGAGGCGCGAAGGCCAGGGGAGCGAACGGG
RNAcentral lists this ribosomal RNA (253 nucleotides) under uncultured bacterium. RNAcentral describes it as "partial 16S ribosomal RNA". It matches the Rfam family "Bacterial small subunit ribosomal RNA", at positions 524 to 776 of the family's 1533-position model. The record is from RNAcentral.